This 305-nucleotide ribosomal RNA is filed under the name uncultured bacterium. Its description in RNAcentral is "bacterial SSU rRNA". It matches the Rfam family "Bacterial small subunit ribosomal RNA", at positions 336 to 637 of the family's 1533-position model. The record is from RNAcentral.
GCCUACGGAGCGCAGCAGGGAAUCUUCCACAAUGGGCGAAAGCCUGAUGGAGCAACGCCGCGUGGGUGAAGAAGGUCUUCGGAUCGUAAAACCCUGUUGUUAGAGAAGAAAGUGCGUGAGAGUAACUGUUCACAUUUCGACGGUAUCUAACCAGAAAGCCACGGCUAACUACGUGCCAGCAGCCGCGGUAAUACGUAGGUGGCAAGCGUUAUCCGGAUUUAUUGGGCGUAAAGGGAACGCAGGCGGUCUUUUAAGUCUGAUGUGAAAGCCUUCGGCUUAACCGGAGAAGUGCAUUGGUAACUGGG